AUGCUUCUCUUGUCGGUCUGGAGUUGGGAACGCUUGCCAGUUGGGCGGCCAACGCCUGCGGGUCUUGGUUAUGAGCCAUGGGAUGAUCAUGAUGACCCGGACUGUAUGCCUACAUGGGCGUAUAAGUGGGACAAGGUUGAAGGCUUUGUUGGCAAUUCAAAGACCAUGUAUUUGCACUAUUGCAACGAGCUCGGCAUCAUGACCCCGGAGCAGGUUAGUUUGUUGACUGUGUUGCCCCUUCGGUUUUCCAAAAAUCAUAGUAAGCAUUUGUCGGCGUUCUGGGAAUGGGGGUACCCAGACUUGCCUGCCUGCGGCCUGCGACGUGGCUCAAGGAGUGGCCCAGUGUGGCCCAUCUUCAUCAACACAUGCUCAAGACCCUCGCGAGGGGCCAAGCCUCGCGGGGCGAACGACAGGAGGCUUCCUCGGGCACGGCCUCGUCAGGCUGGCUCAUGA
Molecule: ribosomal RNA, 453 nt
Filed under: Triticum aestivum (bread wheat)
Lineage: Eukaryota; Viridiplantae; Streptophyta; Magnoliopsida; Poales; Poaceae
Description: partial small subunit ribosomal RNA
Source: RNAcentral